Caenorhabditis elegans is the source of this 99-nucleotide non-coding RNA. The record is from Ensembl. Lineage: Eukaryota; Metazoa; Nematoda; Chromadorea; Rhabditida; Rhabditidae.
AAAAACAAAAACAAAAAACAUAUUCCGUUGCGGGGAAUCGAACCCCGGCCUUAUGGGUGAGAGCCAUAAAUCCUAACCACUAGACCACAACGGAGAUGA